GUCCUGUUAGAAAAGGAAAACUUCUGUUAUAUUUCUAAUUGUAUCUCUGGUAGAUUAGAGUAGGGCUAAAUGCAAAGUGGCACAAAUUUGCAACAGAAAAGGAACUAUUUUACGUUCUUUUGAAUAGGUAAUGCAUUCACAUGGUUCAAAAUUGGGAAAAUAAAAAUGUCUCUUAUCCUUGCCUCCCAGGUACUCAGUUCCCUUCCAUGGAGGCAAGGUAGUCUUUUGUGUCACCUUCCAGAGCUAUUCUAUAAACAUAUAAGCAAAAAAGAAAAUGAUUAGGCUGCGUGUGGUAGCUCACGCCUGUAAUCCUAGCACUUUGGGAGGCUGAUACGGGAGGAUUGCUUGAGACCAGGAGUUUGAGACCAGCCUGGGUGACAGAUAUAGUGAGACUGUCUCUUAAAAAAAAAAAAACAAAGAAAAGAAAAAACAAUUUUAAAAAAUUAUAUCUCAAUAAAGCUGUUUUGUAAAAAAAAAAAAAAAAAAAAAAAAAACCCAAACUAUUUCUAUAGUAUAAUCGAAUGGUGUAUUAAGUUCUCACAUUACUAUGUUGCUGAAGCAACACAAACACAAAAGGAAGAUUUAAGACUGACACAGUUUAUUUCAUGUGAUUUUCUUUUUAAAAUCUUGGUCUCUGAGAUAGGAAAGUAGCUGGAAUUAUAUUUCAUAAAUCUCUGUAUCUGACAAAUUGGAUCUAUAUGAGCCUUGGCAGCUUAAUAACUAUUUUCUUGUUAUCUUUCUUUUCUUUUUCUAUUAAAUGUAUUAUGUUAAUGCAAACAA
RNAcentral lists this small RNA (780 nucleotides) under Pan troglodytes (chimpanzee). Its description in RNAcentral is "sense intronic". The record is from RNAcentral. Lineage: Eukaryota; Metazoa; Chordata; Mammalia; Primates; Hominidae.